Molecule: long non-coding RNA, 406 nt
Organism: Strigops habroptila (Kakapo)
Lineage: Eukaryota; Metazoa; Chordata; Aves; Psittaciformes; Psittacidae
Exons: 4
Source: RefSeq, a predicted model, not a curated record
UGCUUGUUGUCUGCUGAUAUAUACAACAUGACAUGUCUGCCUGUUUAUGCAGGAGGUGAGCAGAGGGUGGGGAAGGAACAACAGGUAACAGUGGCUCUUCAGAGAGGAGGAGUGUGUGGAACGGUCUGUGGACCUCCAGAGUUAACGGCACAUGUUCUGCCCCUUUGGAGACAGCUGAGUUUCAUAUUGGUGUCCCCCUCCCUGGCCAAGCAGCACCAUGUGCAAGAGCUGAGAAAUCCCAGCGUGUGAUACCUCUUUCAGAGCUGCUGCAAAAGGGCUGAAGUACAGAGAGUAAUUCACCUAAGAAAACAGCACGGAGCCGUAACAGACAACUUUGUUGAUACGCUCAAACGAGUUGAGCAGCAAGGCCGUGAAGAAGCAGAAACACGCCUCAGCACAUUCUAGG